AGCGAACGCUGGCGGCGGGCCUAACACAUGCAAGUCGAACGAACUCUUCGGAGUUAGUGGCGGACGGGUGAGUAACACGUGGGAACGUGCCUUUAGGUUCGGAAUAACUCAGGGAAACUUGUGCUAAUACCGAAUGUGCCCUUCGGGGGAAAGAUUUAUCGCCUUUAGAGCGGCCCGCGUCUGAUUAGCUAGUUGGUGAGGUAAAGGCUCACCAAGGCGACGAUCAGUAGCUGGUCUGAGAGGAUGAUCAGCCACAUUGGGACUGAGACACGGCCCAAACUCCUACAGGAGGCAGCAGUGGGGAAUCUUGCGCAAUGGGCGAAAGCCUGACGCAGCCAUGCCGCGUGAAUGAUGAAGGUCUUAGGAUUGUAAAAUUCUUUCACCGGGGACGAUAAUGACGGUACCCGGAGAAGAAGCCCCGGCUAACUUCGUG
Molecule: ribosomal RNA, 433 nt
Filed under: uncultured bacterium
Lineage: Bacteria
Description: partial 16S ribosomal RNA
Rfam family: Bacterial small subunit ribosomal RNA
Source: RNAcentral